Long non-coding RNA from Gadus morhua (Atlantic cod), 1624 nucleotides. RefSeq lists it as uncharacterized. NCBI's taxonomy places the organism in Eukaryota, Metazoa, Chordata, Actinopteri, Gadiformes, Gadidae. The record is from RefSeq and is a predicted model, not a curated record. The transcript is spliced from 2 exons.
CGCUGGGAGCAGGUGUGAGGAUGAGGGUGAAGACGGACACAGACGACAACAGAAAACAAUGAGAUGAUAUCACGUGAUGAGCACACGUAAUGACCUGUGGGGCCUCCCGGACAUGUGAGGAGGAUGGAUGGAGGGCAGAAUGCGGGCCAGCCUCUUUCCCGAGGGAGACGCUUCUAAUAUCCAGAAGACAUUCAACACGGCGACAUGGAUUAUACAUCAUCUAGAAGCUCAAAACCUAUAGUCAUCUUUUGAAUAUUUUGCGAGUUCGGCGAGGGUAUAAGCCUCCUCACAGAAGAAGCGUUGUGUGGGAAUUAAGCUUAUGGGGAAUAAAAAGAAGACAGCUAAUGGAUCAUCACUGGACAAGAACGUAAAGGAAGUCUUUGUUGUUGCCCUUAAUCUCCAACUUUAAUGGACAAGCUCAAUCCCGUGGCAGUGGGUAGACUCUUCAACAUGAGGAGCAGCAUCAUUAAUGCUUUAGUGUAAAACGCUUUUGUAUUCAGGCUGCAGUCAAGCACUUCAGCAGCAAGUCUAGAACGUGUUAAAUGCAUUCUUACUUGGGUGGCUGUUGAAAUGUGCAAAGUUAGCGAAGUUGGCGCUGGAUCCUGCGUGCGGAUUAGCAGGGGCUGCGAAAAUGUCUCCGCCAAGGUCGCUGAGGAGGUCAAACUUCUUAUCGUGGUAGUGCUGCUGGUGGUGAUGGUGCGCUGCGGCACGGCUCACAACCGGGGACUGCAGUGAAACGAACAAGAAAGCAAAGGAAAUGCAGCAACUUAGCAUGGUGGUCCAUUCCAUCUCAGCUGGUAGAGCAAGUCAUUAACACUGCCAGUGUUAGGGGUUUGAGUCCCAGCCAUGGUACAUGUGCAUGAGCUCAGGCUUGAGUUGCUUUAGGUGGCCCCCGAAAUGUUAUGAUAAUGGAUGUCCAGAGGGGUCUACAAGACUUCUAGCUUAUAAGAGCAUCAACAAGGCUCUAUUUUAAAAUGAGCUUGAAGUUGUGUAUUCUGUGUCACACGUGACCCAAUGGAAAAAUACAUAAUGAUGGCGUCUUCAUGCAUUCAUGGGCCUGUCCCACAGAUAAGAUAAGAGGAGAGAUGUAUUGUCAAUCUGUACGUAAACAAACCCCCAUUCAGGCCCUAAUGCAUCAUGCAUGCAUCAAUAGGGCAACUGGGUACCUGAUUGGGAGGGGUGUUCUUGUUGAGGUGCAGGGAGGGGGCAGACUCCCCCAGCAAAGACUUGAGCGGCCGGACUUCGGGGGUGCUGCUGGUGCUGCUGUUGUUGGAGGAGCCGGAGGCGUGGACCGAUGCCACCGCCUUGGCCUGAUCAGGGGGGACGUACCUGGAGAAGCCGAUCCCACAAAACAUCAGCAGAGAGCCAGCUUUUUGUUUGAACUCAAAGCCUCUAUGCUACUUGUAUAGAGAGCUGUGUGCCUCAAGAAAAUGUGUUCCUGGGAUUUUCCUGAUAAAGUGUCAUUAUUUAUAAUAUAAUAUAACAAUAUAUCAGGAUAUUAAAAUAAAACGUAUCUUGUGUCUUAAGUGGCUCUGAUUUAGCUGGUUGCAAUCAUUAAAAAUGUACCUCAUGCAUAUUUACCAUGCUGUACAAUUAUAUAUAUCAAUAGAGACCAACUAAGUAA